This 983-nucleotide long non-coding RNA is filed under the name Phoenix dactylifera (date palm). Its description in RNAcentral is "long non-coding RNA (PDAC_LNC016600)". Lineage: Eukaryota; Viridiplantae; Streptophyta; Magnoliopsida; Arecales; Arecaceae. The record is from RNAcentral.
GACCAUCUCUGGGCAACACUUUUCUUUGAAAACUCGGGGGUGCUUGACGAGCGGAGGAGGCAUGGUGGAGAGAAUUUUCAUUAAGGUUUUCAAACAUCUGCCAUGCCUCAUGCUCACUCUUAAGCAUGAAAGUACCCCCGCAUGCGGCAUCGAUCAUCUGACGGUUUCGUUUAGUCAAUCCGUCAUAGAAACAUUGCACUAACUGCCAUUUAGGUAUUUGAUGAUGCGGGCAUUUUCGGAGUAAGUCUCUAAAUUUUUCUCAAGUUUCAUGAAAUUCUUUUCCGUCAGAUUGGGAGAAGCUCGUGAUCGCACGCCUAAAUUGGUUCAUUCUUCCUAUGGAAAAAUAUUUUUUCAGAAAUUCAUGUUGCAUUUGAGUCCAAGAGAGAAUGGAAUUGGCUUCUAAUGAAUGAAGCCACUGCUUAGCUCUAUCUUUAAGAGAAAAAGGGAAUAGCCUAAGUUUCAGAGCUUCGUCAGUGAAGUUCUGAAUUUUGACAGUUGUGCAGAUCUCAAGAAAUUCAUCCAAAUAUUUAUAUGGGUCUUCAUUGUUAAGUCCAUAAAAAGAGGGAAGCAUUUGGAUGACACUAGACUUAAUUUCAAAAUGUGCAGCAACGGUGGUAUCAGGUAGUCGAAUACAAGAUGGAGAGGUAUAAAUGGAAGGAGUGAAGUACUCAUUUAGGAGUUUGGGUUAUUCUUUAGCCAUCUCUAUAAGUGGAGCAGAUCCUAUGGUUCUAUAGGUACGGAUUUCAGCUCGAAGGGCCCUAAUAGAACGCUCUAUUUCAGAAUCGAAAGGUACUAAUUCAGGAGAUCUGGAAUGACACCCUAGCAUACACUAAUACUCUUCUGAUCAGUUAAGUACAAUCAAGCAUGCAUUAAGAAGAAAAACACAUAAAAUCCUAGUAUGUCCCUAAAAUCACUAGACAGUUCCUAACUGGUUUGAAGAGGGCACCUAAGCCUCCAAUCCGGUAUAAUGAACUUAGUUGACC